GGUCGAUAGGCGUCGCUCCCUGAAUAGCGGCGGACGGGUGAGUAACACGUGGGUAACCUGCCUGUAAGACUGGGAUAACUCCGGGAAACCGGGGCUAAUACCGGAUAACUCAGUUCCUCGCAUGAGGAACGGUUGAAAGGUGGCUUUUAGCUACCACUUACAGAUGGACCCGCGGCGCAUUAGCUAGUUGGUGAGGUAACGGCUCACCAAGGCGACGAUGCGUAGCCGACCUGAGAGGGUGAUCGGCCACACUGGGACUGAGACACGGCCCAGACUCCUACGGGAGGCAGCAGUAGGGAAUCUUCCGCAAUGGACGAAAGUCUGACGGAGCAACGCCGCGUGAGUGAAGAAGGUUUUCGGAUCGUAAAACUCUGUUGUUAGGGAAGAACAAGUGCCGUUCGAAUAGGGCGGCACCUUGACGGUACCUAACCAGAAAGCCACGGCUAACUACGUGCCAGCAGCCGCGGUAAUACGUAGGUGGCAAGCGUUGUCCGGAAUUAUUGGGCGUAAAGCGCGCGCAGGUGGUUUCUUAAGUCUGAUGUGAAAGCCCACGGCUCAACCGUGGAGGGUCAUUGGAAACUGGGGAACUUGAGUGCAGAAGAGGAAAGUGGAAUUCCAAGUGUAGCGGUGAAAUGCGCAGAUAUCGGAGAGAA
Molecule: ribosomal RNA, 653 nt
Filed under: Bacillus sp. SCULCB PT-8
Lineage: Bacteria; Bacillati; Bacillota; Bacilli; Caryophanales; Bacillaceae
Description: bacterial SSU rRNA
Rfam family: Bacterial small subunit ribosomal RNA
Source: RNAcentral